RNAcentral lists this ribosomal RNA (229 nucleotides) under uncultured bacterium. Its description in RNAcentral is "partial 16S ribosomal RNA". It matches the Rfam family "Bacterial small subunit ribosomal RNA", at positions 568 to 796 of the family's 1533-position model. The record is from RNAcentral.
UGCGCAGGCGGGCUUGUAAGUCAGUGGUGAAAUUCUGCCGCGUAACGGUAGAACUGCCAUUGAUACUGCAAGUCUUGAAUAUGGUUGAGGUAGGCGGAAUGUGUUGUGUAGCGGUGAAAUGCAUAGAUAUGACACAGAACGCCAAUUGCGAAGGCAGCUUACUAAGCCAUUAUUGACGCUGAGGCACGAAAGCGUGGGGAGCGAACAGGAUUAGAUACCCUGGUAGUCC